CCUACGGGAGGCAGCAGUAGGGAAUAUUGCUCAAUGGGGGAAACCCUGAAGCAGCAACGCCGCGUGGAGGAUGACGGUUUUCGGAUUGUAAACUCCUUUUGUUAGAGAAGAUAAUGACGGUAUCUAACGAAUAAGCACCGGCUAACUCCGUGCCAGCAGCCGCGGUAAUACGGAGGGUGCAAGCGUUACUCGGAAUCACUGGGCGUAAAGAGCGCGUAGGCGGGAUAGCAAGUCAGAUGGGAAAUCCUAUGGCUUAACCAUAGAACUGCAGUUGAAACUGUUAUUCUUGAGUAUGGGAGGGGUAGGUGGAAUUCUUGGUGUAGGGGUAAAAUCCAUAGAGAUCAAGAGGAAUACUCAUUGCGAAGGCGACCUGCUAGAACAUAACUGACGCUGAUGCACGAAAGUGUGGGUAGCAAACAGGAUUAGAUACCCGGGUAGUC
This 440-nucleotide ribosomal RNA is filed under the name uncultured bacterium. RNAcentral describes it as "partial 16S ribosomal RNA". It matches the Rfam family "Bacterial small subunit ribosomal RNA", at positions 338 to 795 of the family's 1533-position model. The record is from RNAcentral.